UUUAUGGAGAGUUUGAUCCUGGCUCAGGACGAACGCUGGCGGCGUGCCUAAUACAUGCAAGUCGAGCGGACCUGAUGGAGUGCUUGCACUCCUGAUGGUUAGCGGCGGACGGGUGAGUAACACGUAGGUAACCUGCCUGUAAGACUGGGAUAACAUUCGGAAACGGAUGCUAAUACCGGAUACGCGAAUUGGUCGCAUGGCCGAUUCGGGAAAGACGGAGCAA
This 223-nucleotide ribosomal RNA is filed under the name Paenibacillus sp. 1011MAR3C5. RNAcentral's name for it is "partial 16S ribosomal RNA". It matches the Rfam family "Bacterial small subunit ribosomal RNA", at positions 1 to 213 of the family's 1533-position model. The record is from RNAcentral. Lineage: Bacteria; Bacillati; Bacillota; Bacilli; Caryophanales; Paenibacillaceae.